AUUGAACGCUGGCGGCGCGCCUAAUACAUGCAAGUCGAGCGAGAAGGUGUAGCAAUACACUUGUAAAGCGGCGAACGGGUGAGGAAUACAUGGGUAAUCUACCAUCGAGUGGGGAAUAACCAACCGAAAGGUUGGCUAAUACCGCGUACGCCUCCGAGUCUUCGGGUUCGGAGGGAAAGCUGCACUGUGAGUGUAGCGCUCUUUGAUGAGCUCAUGUCCUAUCAGCUUGUUGGUAGGGUAACGGCCUACCAAGGCUUUGACGGGUAGCUGGUCUGAGAGGACGAUCAGCCACACUGGCACUGCGACACGGGCCAGACUCCUACGGGAGGCAGCAGUAAGGAAUAUUGCGCAAUGGGCGAAAGCCUGACGCAGCGACGCCGCGUGGGGGAUGAAGGUCUUCGGAUUGUAAACCCCUUUCGGGAGGAAGAUGGAGCGAGCAAUCGUUCGGACGGUACCUCCAGAAGCAGCCACGGCCAACUUCGUGCCAGCAGCCGCGGU
RNAcentral lists this ribosomal RNA (498 nucleotides) under uncultured bacterium. RNAcentral's name for it is "bacterial SSU rRNA". It matches the Rfam family "Bacterial small subunit ribosomal RNA", at positions 30 to 521 of the family's 1533-position model. The record is from RNAcentral.